RNAcentral lists this ribosomal RNA (478 nucleotides) under uncultured bacterium. RNAcentral's name for it is "partial 16S ribosomal RNA". It matches the Rfam family "Bacterial small subunit ribosomal RNA", at positions 28 to 523 of the family's 1533-position model. The record is from RNAcentral.
GACGAACGCUGGCGGCGUGCUUAACACAUGCAAGUCGAACGGUAAGGCCCUUCGGGGUACACGAGUGGCGAACGGGUAAGUAACACGUGGGUGAUCUGCCCUGCACUUCGGGAUAAGCCUGGGAAACUGGGUCUAAUACCGGAUAGGACCACUGCCUGCAUGGGUGGUGGUGGAAAGCUUUUGCGGUGUGGGAUGGGCCCGCGGCCUAUCAGCUUGUUGGUGGGGUGAUGGCCUACCGAGGCGACGACGGGUAGCCGGCCUGAGAGGGUGACCGGCCACACUGGGACUGAGAUACGGCCCAGACUCCUACGGGAGGCAGCAGUGGGGAAUAUUGCACAAUGGGCGCAAGCCUGAUGCAGCGACGCCGCGUGAGGGAUGACGGCCUUCGGGUUGUAAACCUCUUUCAGCACCGACGAAGCGCAAGUGACGGUAGGUGCAGAAGAAGGACCGGCCAACUACGUGCCAGCCGCCGCAGUAA